GCCAGGUGUGGUGGCGCACGCCUAUAAUCCCAGUGGCUUGGGAGGCUGAGGCAGGAGGAUCAUGAGUUCAAAGCUAGGCUAAGCAAAAACAAGGCACUCAGCAACAUAGUGACACCCUGACUUUA
Molecule: small RNA, 125 nt
Filed under: Marmota monax (woodchuck)
Lineage: Eukaryota; Metazoa; Chordata; Mammalia; Rodentia; Sciuridae
Source: RNAcentral